GACGAACGCUGGCGGCGUGCUUAACACAUGCAAGUCGAACGAUGAAGCCCAGCUUACUGGGUGGAAGAGUGGCGAACGGGUGAGUAACACGUGAGUAACCUGCCCAUCACUCUGGGAUAAGCGCUGGAAACGGCGUCUAAUACUGGAUAUGAACAGCGGCCGCAUGGUCAGUUGUUGGAAAGAUUUAUUGGUGAUGGAUGGACUCGCGGCCUAUCAGCUAGUUGGUGAGGUAAUGGCUCACCAAGGCGACGACGGGUAGCCGGCCUGAGAGGGUGACCGGCCACACUGGGACUGAGACACGGCCCUGACUCCUACGGGAGGCAGCAGUGGGGAAUAUUGCACAAUAGGCGGCAAGACCUCGAUGC
This 365-nucleotide ribosomal RNA is filed under the name uncultured bacterium. Its description in RNAcentral is "bacterial SSU rRNA". It matches the Rfam family "Bacterial small subunit ribosomal RNA", at positions 28 to 389 of the family's 1533-position model. The record is from RNAcentral.